This 253-nucleotide ribosomal RNA is filed under the name uncultured bacterium. Its description in RNAcentral is "partial 16S ribosomal RNA". It matches the Rfam family "Bacterial small subunit ribosomal RNA", at positions 524 to 776 of the family's 1533-position model. The record is from RNAcentral.
UACGUAGGGGGCAAGCGUUGUCCGGAAUCAUUGGGCGUAAAGAGCGCGUAGGCGGCCCAGUAAGUCCGCUCUGAAAGUCAGGGGCUCAACCCCUGGAUGCGGGUGGAUACUGCUGGGCUAGAGUCCGGAAGAGGUGAGUGGAAUUCCUGGUGUAGCGGUGAAAUGCGCAGAUAUCAGGAGGAACACCGAUGGCGAAGGCAGGUCGCUGGGCCACUACUGACGCUGAGAAGCGAAAGCAUGGGGAGCGAACAGG